CUGUUAUUUGUGUGCGGUUUGCAUGUUUUUUCCCCCCGCUUUGGAAAAUCUUGGGAAAUUGCACCAUUGCACUCAUUAAAAAAAUGAUACUAGAAAAUAAAUGCAUGCCAAGUAGCAUUCGUUUGUUAUGUCUGUAGAUUUCUGGUCAGUUUCAGGCAGUUGGACAAGCCUGACCAACAAUCUAGUGAUUCCUCACUGCCUCUUGGGCAACUGCAGUCAGUUGAGCAACAGACCAGCAACCCACAACAACCAGAUGAUUCCUCCCUGGUUUCUAUGCAUUUAACUGGACAACAGAUACAACCCAACGGUUCUUCACAGAUGUCUGGUCAGUUGCAGUCAAUUGGACAACAGUUUAACACAACAGAACUCUAUGAUUCCUCACACAACCCACCUUCAAGCAACUGCUAGAUGAGCUCAAUGCCAAAAUGAACAGACAUGAAGCAGAAAGGACCUUUAGACCAUAUGACAAGUUUAAGUUUCUUGCUGUCAAGUAUGGGGGGACUCUGAUUUACAACACCAUCAUUGACAGUAUCCUGUCUGAGAGACAUGGUGAGAGCGGGGCACUCUUACAGGAAAAGAGGACAACUGCUCUGAUAUGGCAACUGCUCUUCUACAGGAAUCAAAGGCAUGGCGAAUUUGUAGAUGAAAGUUCUAUCUUUCUUGAUCUUCAUGGUCUUUCAUCAAAUGGCAUGGAGUUGGGCAUAGUUCUGGAGUUUUCAAGAUCUAAUUCAUUCCAGAUUCUUGCCAUUGAUGACUUCCAUAACAUCAACACUGUGAAGUUGCCAACUGGGAGAAUUACAGCAAAUGCUGUUCACAUGGCGACUCUCCUGUUACAACCAUCACAAGCAGUUAAUCUUCCAACACCAUCCACACACUUGCACAAAGAGAUCAUAGUGGCAAUGCCAAGUGGCAAUCUUGUAGAGGGGGUAUUUCAAGUGUGGCUGUCAGAAAAGUUAUAGCAGAAUUCUGGCCAAACUACUGUCAACUCUCAUUCUUGGCAAGUCUGCCUGCUGAAUUCAAGAAUAUUGACACUUCUGUGAUGCAAGACUCCUUAAAAGAGUUGAGGGUCUUUGCAAGAGAGGAGCACAUGGAGUGCCAGUCUCUUUCUUCAACGAUGCUGAUAGAUAAAUCUCUCCACAGCAAGCAAGAUUACGAGCACAGUCAUUCCUACAUCUUCCAAGUGCUUCCAAAACUUUAAGACUUCCUGAAAGUGAAGAUACUUCCAGCCGUUGGGGACUGGCCAACGUGGUAUUUUCACAAAAGAAGAUCAUCUGCCAUUCCGGCCCUCACAACAAAUCUUGUCAAUCGUUCCAGGUUGGGCAAUUCCAUGUAUACCUUAAUGACUCAGAAGAUGUUAUACUUAGAUACCAUCCAGUUAUUAAGGAGAUAUACAGUGGAGUGUUUGGUGAGAAAUGCCAUCUUCAUGAAAAACUAAAGCCUGAAAAGAUAGCCAUUUGUCUAGUCUUGGCCUUUUGUGGCUGGCUAAAAGUGAGGAAUGAAAUAAUUGAGGCCUUUGGACAGUAAAGAUAUAGAGUAUACAUGUCUGCACCACCUGUUUGAGGAACUUGUGCCACUGACA
This is a long non-coding RNA of Nematostella vectensis (starlet sea anemone), 1579 nucleotides long. RefSeq lists it as uncharacterized. The transcript has 8 exons. The record is from RefSeq and is a predicted model, not a curated record. Lineage: Eukaryota; Metazoa; Cnidaria; Anthozoa; Actiniaria; Edwardsiidae.